GCCCUCCCCAUGCCGUCUACCGGCUAAACACACCGAGAUAUGAGGACAGGCUCGGUCCGUGACAGCACUGCUACACCAUAGACACCACCGUCGCUUUGUGAACUAUGUAAAAUAAAAAAAGAAAAGAAAGGAAAGAAAAUAUGGAACUAUGCACAUGUUGGCUUUAUACCGCUCUGCAUGAAAAAGCAGAAACGUUAGGAGUGUUCGUGUGAGAAUCUGUGUGUGCGUGCGCGUUCACCGGGGAUUUAACCACGGCGCUCAAACGGGGGACAUAGACGUUUUAUAGCCAAGGAAUACACACAUUAUUUUCGGGGGGCGGGGGAAAUGUGUUUAAUCCUCGUUUCUUUUGAACAUGUUGUGGAAUGUUGCCGAAUUCAUGGGGCUGUUCAAUGUUAAGGAAUAAACACUAAACAGCCCGCUUUUGUUCCCAGCCCGUUGAUUAUAAACACAAACGACGGAAGAUGCCUCAUACCGGUUUUACCUGAAGCUGUUGAGAGAACACCUUAAGAGAACAGCUUCCAGUGAGCAACAUUAUUUUGUAUUUUCAGCUGCUGAAUCUGUAUUACUGUAAUGACUAUAAAGUAAAGAUCAGCAAGUAGGAGAUGGAUGGAAGAAGCAUGCUGACUAAAAACUGACCUAAUUAGAACACACCAGGAAGUGCUUUCUAUGUGUCUGUGAAUCAGACCAAACGGAACAAAAAGCCAGGAGGGAAGGAGUUUUUUUAUCAUGGCGACUGACCCAGGAGAGCCCACCGGCACGGAGGACUCAUCCGGAGAGCAACCUGAUGGAGAGAGAGGGGAAGAGAACGAGUGGACAGGGAACCAGUCAGCCAGCCAAAGGGAAAGCAGGACUUCGGAGAGAGGGGCUGGAAAUGAGGAAGCAUCAGGAGCAAAAGCAGCAGGUGUUGGGAGGGAAGAAGGAGAAGCAAACAAGGCACGAGAGCAAACAUCUCUUCCGAAGCCUGAGAACAAGCGCUUCUUUCGGAAGAGUGUGGAACUCUGCGAGAAGGAUGAGGUCUUGGAGGAGGAGGAGGGCCUUCAUAGUGUCUCUCACCCUGAGCUCCAUGACUCAGACUCUGUCUUCAGUGCCGGAACUCAGCAUGUCCCCGCUGAUGGCACCCAUGGUGGCGGCCUAGACCUAGAAAAGGGAGCCCCGUCGGUCCCCAGACUAAAGGGAAAGGAGCGCGAGUCUGAGCAGGAGGAGGAGGCUGAAAUGAAAGCUGUGGCCACAUCACCUGGUGGCCGCUUCCUUAAGUUCGACAUCGAACUUGGCCGAGGUGCUUUUAAGACGGUUUAUAAAGGCCUGGACACAGAGACGUGGGUGGAAGUGGCCUGGUGUGAACUACAGGAUGGGAAGCUGACCAAGGCCGAGCAGCAGCGCUUCAAAGAGGAAGCUGAGAUGCUCAAGGGUCUACAGCACCCAAACAUCGUGCGUUUCUACGACUUCUGGGAGUCAACUCUCAGAGGAAAGAAGUGCAUCGUCCUUGUCACCGAGCUAAUGACCUCUGGAACACUCAAAACAUACCUUAAGCGCUUUAAAGUUAUGAAGCCGAAAGUGUUGCGCAGCUGGUGCAGGCAAAUCCUGAAGGGGUUGCAUUUCCUGCACACACGGACGCCACCCAUUGUGCACCGUGACUUAAAGUGUGACAACAUCUUUAUCACAGGCCCCACAGGCUCAGUGAAGAUCGGAGACCUAGGCCUGGCAACGCUCAUGAGGACCUCCUUUGCCAAGAGUGUGAUCGGUACCCCAGAGUUCAUGGCUCCAGAGAUGUAUGAGGAACACUAUGAUGAGUCUGUGGAUGUCUACGCCUUUGGCAUGUGCAUGCUUGAGAUGGCUACAUCUGAGUACCCUUAUUCUGAGUGUCAAAAUGCUGCCCAGAUCUACCGCAAGGUCACCAGUGGGAUCAAGCCCGCCAGUUUUGAUAAAGUGAAUGAUCCAGAAAUUAAGGAGAUCAUUGAGGGCUGCAUUCGUCAGAACCGAGGCGAGCGGCUUUCCAUUAAGGACCUGCUCAACCAUGCAUUCUUUGGUGAGGACACAGGUGUGCGAGUGGAGUUGGCGGAAGAGGACACAGGCAAUCAGGACUGUCUGGCUCUGCGUAUUUGGGUGGAGGAGCCUAAAAAACUGAAGGGCAAGCACAAAGACAAUGAGGCCAUUGAGUUCAGUUACAACCUUGAGAAUGACAGUGCAGAGGAAGUGGCGUUAGAGAUGGUCAAGUCUGGGUUUUUCCACGAGAGUGACGCAAAGGUUGUGGGAAAGUCUAUUCGAGACAGGAUAACUCAGAUUAAGAAGUUCCGCGCAACACGACAGCAGCGAGCUCUAGAGGAGAGACGGGACUCUGGCCUGGUUUCUGCUUCCCUUACCACCAGUUUUACUUCUUUCUCCUCCUCCAUGGGUCCUGGGGCUGUUCCUACUGCUGCCGCUGUGGGGGUCACUGGAGGGCACAGGGAGGGAGAGGACCUGCCAGAGAUGGAGAAACAUACUCGACAACACAUCCCCAUCAGCAACACCCAAGGACUCAUGGAAACAGAGAACUUCUCUGCAAUCAGUGGAGAAUCCUUUGCAGGUGCACAGAGCCAACCCUUUUCAUCAGCAGGAGACUCUGGAAUCUCUUUUGUGAACACACAAAGUAGCUAUCCCACUGGGACAUCUUCACUGGCCCCAUAUCCCACAGACAUAACACAAACAGCACUCCCCCAGCCAGGAGAGGCAGUUACUUCUCAUGCUUCUCUUAUACAGACACAGUCAUACUUAACCCCUCUUUCACCCCAGGCCUCCAUUAGCACUCUUUCUGCAGAGCCCAUAGGAUCAUCUUUUAGCAACCUGAUGCCACAAAAUCAACAGAGCCAGCAUAAUGUUGCACCUCUGCCACAGACCGAAAAUUUGCCAAAACAAACUGUAGUUCAAGCACAACAACAGAUGAUAGAUCUGCAGACUACACUGCUACAACAACAGCAACAACAACCACCACAACCAUCACAACAGCAGGCAGUUGCAUUACAACAGAUGGAGCAAAUGCAAAAGCAGGGCCUUUUGAUGCAACAACAUCCUCCUUCUGCUGGAAUACCACCCCAGAUAGAGAAUCCACCAUUAGUGUUGCCGGAGCAGCCAAGUGUACCACAGCAGCAAUACAGACCACAGCAACAGCAGACUUUGGUGCACCCUCAGCAGAUAGAGCCACAGCAACAGGUAUUUGCACAGCAACAUGUGGGAGUACCUAAACCACAGCAAACUGUAAUUCAACAGCAAGUCCAACAGAAAGCAUUCAUCCAGCAACUCUCAGUGGAACAACAGCAGCAGGAACCGCAGUUGUUUUUGCAACACCACCAUCAACAGAUAUAUGUGCCAAGUCAGGCUGAACUCCAAAAGUCAGCCAUGAUGCAAUCGACUCCUCAGCAGUUACCACUUGCAGAGCAACAGCAGGUAGUGCAUGGUAUACCGCAAAUAGAACAGCAGAAACAACACCAAAUCUAUACACAACAACAGAUAGAGCAGCAAGAAAUACAAAUUCAAAAACAGCAGCAAAGUUCUGCACUGACACAGCAGAUGGAACAACAGAAUUCGCAGUUGCUGCAGCAGGUACAACAACAGCAGGCUAUUUUACAACAGGCAGGGGGUGAGCAGCAGCGACAGGCACUAUUGCAGCAGCACUUGGAGCAACAAGAGGCUCUGUUACUACAACAACAAAUUCUUUUACGCCAACAACAGUUUGAACAGCAAAAUCAACCACAUUUAGAACAACAGAACAUAGUAAUACCACAACAGACAGAGCAACAACCACAACAAAUGGAACAAGAAGCUUUAUUGCAAAAGCGUCUAGAAGAACAGCAAAAGCAAGCUUUUUUACAGCAACAACAGCAACAAAUGCAACUCCUGCAACAACAACAGCAGUUAGAGCAAAAUCAAGUUCUUUUGCAGAAGCAGCACCAAAUGGAUCAUCAACAAAGUUUACUGCAGCAACAACAGUUUGAACAACAGCAGUCUGUACUGCGGCACAUUUCACAAUCUCAACUUACACAAUCACAAAUGCAGCAACAGUCAGAGCAACAAGCCUUUCAGUCACAGAUUGACCAAAGGCAGCAUAUGUUAGUACAACAGCAUAGAGAACUACAGAUGCAACAGCAGGCUCUAGUGCAACAACACCAACAAAAUACAGAGCCACUUCAGGCACUACCCACAGAACACAAGGAAAAGGAACAGCUUCAGCAGCAAGCUUUACUUUUACAAGAGACACAUUUGGACCAGCAAGCUGUGACUCUUGAGACUGUUCAACAGCAGCAGCAUGCUCUAAUUGAGCAACAGCAGGAACAGAAGCAGCGUCAGCAGCAUGCUGCAAUUCUACAACAGCAAAUACUGUUGAACCAACAAGUACCCCUUGGCCAACAUCACAGUGGUGGACAACAGAAAACUGUUUCUCUUGAGUCUAUUCAGCAGCAGCAGGGUAUGCUCAGUCAACAGCAGGAUCAACAGCUUCAACAGCAAGCUUUGUUUUUACAACAGUCAAGCCAACAAGUAGCCAUUGGGCAAAAUCACAGUGGACAACAGCAAGCUGUUACUCUUGACACUGUUCAGCAGCAGGCUUUACUCAAGCAACAGCAAGAUCAGCAGCAUCUUCAACAGCAAGCUUUGUUUUUACAGCAGCAACAACGACAUUUGAACCAACAUGUAGCCCCUGGACAACAGCAGGUUGCCACUUUUGAGAUUGUUCAACAGCAACAGCAGAAUCUAUUAAAGCAACAGCAGGAUCAGCUGGAUCUUCAACAUCAAGCUUUGUUCUUGCAACAGAAACAACAGUUGGACCAACAAGUAGCCACAGGGCAGCAACACAAUAGACAACAGCAAACUACAGGUCUUCAAACUGUUCAACAUCAGCAGCAGGUUUUACUUCAGCAUGAGCAGCAACAGCAAGUCUUGUUACUACAACAGCCCCUUCAGUCUCACAAAAGUAUUACUCAACACAUCAUAGAGCAAAAGCAACAAGAAUUUGUUCAGCAACAAGCUGUUCUCUCUGGGCAGCAAGAUGGAAUUUCUGUUGUGGAGUCGCAGGUAACAAUUGUUGGUCAGUCAGCAUCACAAAUGGUUACCUCCCAAAUUUCAAGUCAGUUACAAACCCCUGUACACAUUGACCAGCAUGCACCACCUCUGUCAGCACCUCAAACUCAAGGGCCAAUACAACAAAAAGAAGGUGACGUUACAAAGUUCCAUAGUCAAAGUCCUUUACAGACCCAAAGUCUCUCAGCCCCACAAUCAAUAGUUCCAUCUCUAGCACAGCCUAAUUCCAUCCAGUUAAAGAGUCCUCAAGCCUUCCCAGCUACAAUACAAAUUCAGGAUUUAGCACAGCCUCAAGUACAGGCCCAGACAUAUGUCCCAAAUGAGGCACAGGCUCAAAUGCUCAUACAAGGACAAGUUAUACCUCAUCAAACCAUGACUCCUGUUCUUUGUCAGGUUCCAGCAGUACCACCAUCAUCUCAGAUAUCAAACCAAAUUCAGUCUCAAGGUCAGCCCCCUUCUGCCUUACUCACAAUGCAGUAUCUUCAAGCCUCACAACUUGGUCAACACAGCAUUCAGCCAGUCCAGAUUGACUGUGCACAGGGUACAAAACAACAACAGCAGUUUCACCAAAUAGUGCUGUCUCCAGUAACAGUGCCAAGUACCAUUGCUGUGUGCUCAGCUGGUGUAGUUCCUGCUACAGUAAAUACCACACAGCAAUACUUACCGCAGACAGGCCAGGCUCAAAAUCAAGUUCAAGCACAGACACAGCCUACCCUGCAGGGACAGCAACAGCCAGGUGGCAUCACCAUUCAGACUGUCAUGCAGUCCAUGCCCCUUAUGCAACCUGAAGUUCCUCAACAGUAUGAACAGCAAGCACAAACAGUCCAGCAGGGGCAGCAGCAGCCAGUACAGGUCCAGUCACAGAUUUUGUCAUCUAUUCAGCAACCUUCACCAUCCCACCAAACUCCUGUGGCACUAGAUCUCAAUCAACAGUCAUCUCCUUUACCAUCUGCUUUGCAGCCUGUGGUUCCAUCACACGACAUACCAAGGCAACCAUGUCAAACACAAGUUCGGCCUGCUGCACUUUACAGUCAUGUUGUAGCUGGCCUACCACCUUCCCCACAACACCAUCCUCAAUCAAUCUCGCUUGCCCAUACUCGCAGCCAGACAAGCACUCAGUCACAGACAUGUACCCACAUACAGGCACAUGUUCAAUCACAGACUCUCUCACACACAGACGUAUUCACUGAGACUGCAGGCACAUCUGUGCAACCACUGUACUCCCAAGUUCCCCUGCAAUCCCUCCAGAUACCCUCCAGUCCAUCUCGUACCUCCCUCAACACUACCAACUUAUCAGGCUCCCAGCUUGCCCCCACCGCUUCAGAAGUCCCAGUGCCAGCUGAGGCACAGCAAAGCCAGGCUGGGCUAACUGAUAUAGCUCUGACUUCCCUUCCUCCCAUCAGUGCUUCACAGCUCUCUGGUUCUAAUGGCACUGCCCUUCCCCCAAACUUGCUGACCGACUGUGACCCUGCAUUGUCAGGCAUUGCACAGGGGAGUCCAAACCAAUCUGCCCACCGACAUUCUUUAGUAGGUAGAGAGGAAUCUCAGUUACCCUUGGUUAAUGGAAAGCUGGAGAAGAUAAAGAAUCAGCGGAGGUCUUCCUACCAACGACCUGAGAGAACCACUCACUUUCAGCUAAGCAUGCUGCAGGUGUCAAACAGUGGAGACAACAUGGUGGAGUGCCAGCUCGAAACUCACAGUAACAAGAUGGUCACAUUCAAGUUUGAUAUUGAGGAAGAUGCCCCUGAAGAUAUAGCAGAUUACAUGGUGGAAGAGGACUUUGUCCUUGAAUCAGAAAAAGAAAAAUUUGUAGAAGACUUGAGGGCUAUAGUGAAGAAAGCCCAGGAGAUCCUAAGUACCCAGUCAAAGACGGGAUCCAUAGAACAGCUACAUGUAAGCACUCCAUCAAGUUCAACAGUAGAUUCUGCCCCUCAGUCGUCUCCUGUGGGUCGCUGGCGAUUUUUCAUCAACCAGACCAUUCGUCAUCGUGACACUCAGUCUAAUCGUGAAGGGUCCACUCCUUCACCAGCAGGGGAGAGCCAGGGCCAGAUUGAGCAAGCUUUAGACCAUGCAGAUUCACAGCAGUCAGACACUCUCUCUGGAGUACAUUUUUCUUCAUGUUCCACAAUGCCCUAUGUUCCUCCCUCCACUGUUUCUGUCCAAACCUCAGAUAGUGCUGUCUCUAUUCCUGGAAUGACUGCCAUGGACUCUACCAACUCUAUUCCAUCAAUGCUUCAUAUGUCCCCAGGAGAUGCAGUCACUCAAGACAUAGCAGCUACCACCCAGCCAGGGUUGGGGAAAGGGUCUGCACCCAGUAUUCAAGCCACGGUCCCCAGCCAAACCUCUUCUAUUCAUGUUACAUCUUUUCCUGUGGCUGAUCCUGUCCAUACCUUUGCAUCUAGCAAGGAUAUGAGCAGUGGUUCCAGUUUUGGCCUAGGUUCAGAAGAUGCUGCUGCUAUUAUACACAGCAUGCCUGAAGAUCAAAUGCCACUCUCUGGUAGUUUAAAUCAGAGCGCCCUGUCAUCUUGCUUGUUAAAUCAAAGGGAACAAGUGCAACAGUUAACCCAAGGGCCCUCAGUUCAGAAACCUGAGAUACUUCAGCAAGGCCUGCAAUCUCAGCCACUCAUAGAAGUCUAUUCAGUACAGCUUCCAAAGGGCAACACUGAUCAAUCUCAGAUGCAGCAGCAGCAUCUGCAACAGCAGCAACAGUUGCAACAGACUAUGCCAAUGGCAACAGUGUCCCACUACCCAGCCCAUGACAAACAUGUCUCAGUGGCAGAGCAAACAAUGCAGCCCUUUGAAGCUGAACAUCCUGCAUCUCAUUUCCAUCCAGUACAACAGUCAGUUCUACAGCAAGUCCCAUAUCAACAGGGACAGUCAGAACUUCCACUGGAACCACUAGGCCAUAACAGUAUUCAGUUACAGUCCAAUGCCACUCUGGAACAGAUGCAGCUGCAUGGUGUCGUGCAACAACAGGCAGUUCCACUACAGCAGUAUGUGCAGCAGGAAACUGUGCUGCACCCUAAAAUACUGGCUGUACAAUCUCAGCCAAAAUUAGAAACACAAGAACCCUUUCUGCAUAGAGCACAGUCUUUGAUCUCAAGUCAGGUCCCUCCUGAGAAACCACAACCCCAGCCUAAGCUCGAGCAGGUGCCUCAGCCUGCAUCCCUGCUUGUGCAGAAGCAGCUCUCCAUCCAGCAACUGGAAACAGAGCUCUCUACAGGAAAGGUCACUGCCACAGAUGACACUUUAAGUGAGUCUGCUCCUUUGCAACCACUGUCUGAUGCCUCUCUCCCCCCACUCUCUCUCUCUGAGACAGCUUUGCCAGCUCUGGCUCAUGUUCUCUCCCCUUCUCCUGCCCAGCCUUCUUCAGUAGCUGAGUCAGACAGUGAGGGACCCCCCAAAAUUGAGUUUGUUGACAACCGUAUAAAGACACUGGAUGAGAAGCUGAGGAAUCUGCUCUAUCAGGAACACAGUGGCAGCGGGGCCACUAUCUGCACCCCCACUCCUGACCCGGCUUCUUCCUCAGCUACAGCUGCUGUGUCAGCCAGGGGAGAGGAGUCAUCUGAGUCUCAAUCAGUGCCACCCUCCACCUUCCCACUUCCUCCUGCCUGCUCUUCAGACACUUCUCCACAUUUCUCCUCUUGCACUACCUCCUCCACUACCUCUCGUUCUUCCUCCACCUCAUCAGACAAAGAAAGGGAGAGAACAGGAGAAGAGUGCAUUGGUCAGAGUGUUCCAGCCCCCUCCACCGCUGUGGAGCACCAACCUGCCUCAUCCUUCUCCUCCACUUCUCCACUCUGCUCCCUCCUUUCCCCUCCACAGGAGACGGUGCCUGGACCUAUUUCUCCACCCAGUGAAACUGCAGUCCUUGCUGUCCCCUCCCCUUCUGACAGUGCAGCCGUAGAGGUCCUCCAGCCUUCCUUCUCCCAGCAGUCCAUUGCACCAGCAGCCGGGCAGCAGCAGCAGCAGCAGCACAAUGCAGGAGGUGGAUAUUUUGGCCUAAACCUGACUUGUCCUAGUAUCAGAAAUCCUGUUAGCAAGAAAUCCUGGACUCGCAAAUUCAAAAGCUGGGCGUGCAAACUGCGCCACUCCACCAGCUUGUUCAAGAAGCCCAGAGUCCAGCAAGAUGAGAAUUCUAGCAGUCAGAGAGCGAAAGAGGAUAAAGAGACUCCCUCAAAAACCAAGCCAUGUUUGCACAGAGGACGUUUCCAGGUGACCCCAGUCACCCAGCCUGAGGACCCUACUCCCACAGCAGAGGAAGCAGCGAAUAACAGUGUUCCCAAGACUGUGGGACGCUUUUCCAUCAUGAAGGCAGAGGAAAAAGAGGAGCAGCUCACCGACAGCUCACCUGUGUCUCCAGACCUGGAGAAAGAUAGGAGGAAGACAAAAGUGAAGGACGGAGAAAAGGACGAAAGGACAUUUCCAGUGGGCUUUCACCAUCCAGCACGUAGCCACACACACUCUCCGACAGGAAGCAGUGAUGAUGAGAGUGAGGUGGAGGACGAGGACCUAAGGAGGGAACUGCAGAAACUAAGAGAAAAACACAUCAAGGAGGUGGUGUCACUACAGGCACAGCAGAAGCAAGAACUACAGGAGCUCUAUAGGCAACUGCGAAGUCUGAAAGAUUGUUAUCAGCCCCCUUCAUCCCCUGCAACAUCACUGGCCAUUUCUCCCCGCAGACCCCGCCCCUCCAAACCAAAACCUCGCCCUCGCCCCCAUUCCCACACUGACAACAAUGGAGUCACACACCAAGGUUCUCUCCAGCAAUCUAGCAGUUACUCCGGUGAAGAGCCAAGCAGACUACAAUCUUACUGCAGACCUGAAAAAACAGCUUCACUGACCUCUAAGACAGCCCAUGGUUCAUCCAAUAAAGAGAGCACCUUCACAGACAAACUGCACAAACUAGUAGAUGAUUGGACUAAGGAGGCCAUUGGACCCGCCAACCCCAAACCUUCACUUAAUCAGCUCAAGCAAAUUCAGCAAGCACAGGAUCUAGGUGGCUGGAACCAGCUCACCGAGGCUUCACCCGCAGCCUGGUUCCCCACCACUUCCCUAAACCCCAGGAGUACUCCUGGAUCAGCCAGUAGCACAGGAGGCCAUGCCCUUCCAGCCUCCACUCAGCCCUCUGUCCCACCUGCAUCACAGCAGAGCCUGCAAAUGCAGACCCAGUCCCUUCAGCCGCUUCAGUAUGGCCAGCCCAGCAUGCCGACAUCUAGUCUACCCACCUCUCUAGCAUCACACUGCACUCCUUCCUCUACAUCCAUGCCAGCCCCAGCAACCACCAUCGCCUCCACCUCCACAACCUCCGUCUACUCCUCCACAAACGCGUGAUACUUCUUCUCCACUAGGAAAACGGUAUGAAAGGAUGGGGCAGGAGAGUAAAGAUUGAGAAUGUGAAAGCCAAACAUGAAUUCUAAUUCUUCUGGGCGUGCACAUAUAUAAAUAAAGGUUUUAAGAACUUUUUGACAUUUAUCUUUUUUUUUCUUUUUCUUUUUUUUAAAACAAUUCUAGGAAAAAGGACUAUUUGAAAAUUUUAAAAGUGCAAUUAGUAACCAAGAUUUGAAUUCAUCCUUCUUCUUCAUCGUAAUGUGUGUCUGUAUAGCCGAACGAGAUAUUUUUUGAGACAGAAACUAAACAGAAAGUUGCCAUUUUAAGAGAAUAGAGCACAAAACGUCUUAACAAGCAGUGAGAGCAAUCGCAUGUUCCACAACAGAGCAUGAAGACAGUUACCUCGGAGCCAUGGCCCUCAGCCAUGUGACCAACUUGAACACUGUUUUACCAUGUAAUGCACGGCAUGUUCAUAUUUCCUCUAUUUUACACAGAUUGAUAUUUGUAUUAAUAACCAUUUUUGGUAAUAACCUGAAUAUUCCGACUAAUUAACAUUAAGUCCAAAUUGAUUUUAACCAAGUAUUCCAGAGUGAAACCUGGACGAGCUCUCCAAAUUGUCCAGUUCAAUAGAAAUGCAAAGCAGCUCUGAUGAUAGCAGUAUUUCCUAUUUCUCAUCAGCAGAUUCCUCUCUUCAGAUCAUUAAGUAAAGCUGUACAGAACUUGGAGGUUUCAGCUUCAGCUGGAGGAAAGUUUGCUAAGUCUUGUGUGUUUUGCACAGUUCCCGACAACCCUCUAGCACACCAAACUCACUGCAUGCUGAGAAAUGUACAGUGGCCAGUUUGUUGGUUUCAGCCAUGUUCUAUCCCGGGUUCAGAAGUCAGCUCGGUUCUUGACAAUGUGCUCAUUGUGACUGACGGGUCUAUAUGCAUCCAUCAAUGGGGGGAUUUAGCAGUUAGACAUGGCUGCAACACAAUGAUGCUCUUCACAGUGAACAAGAAAGCCAUGCAGAAGCUCUGCAGCAAGCAGCGAUUCACUGUACUCUCUAUACGACGAGCUGCAGGGUCUCUUCUGUUUACCACUACAACUGGCUCCAACCGUACCUAUUCCUAUAGCAUUUAAAGAAGGUUUCAAUUGGUACCCAUUGAAAGCAUUUCAGUCUAUUUUAUGCAAGUUUCCUAAAACUAGCGUCCUAGCGUCAUUAUACGCACAAUAAUGCUAAUAAUAUCUCCUUUCAGGGGCAUUACCAGUACUAAGACUAUUUUUUUGAGCCUCAUUUACAUUAUGCACCACCGUUUCUUCAGUGCAUACAUAAACAGUUUCUAAUAACCCUUUGUUCUUCAUGGUCAACUGGACAUUUGUAAUUAUUAACGCAAAGUCAGAGGAACACAACAAUAAAGCUUGAAAACAACCUGGGGGGUAUAUUGUAAAUGCUCUCAGCUUCUGUUUCAUUGUUGUUUUUAAUAUUUUAUAAUGUAUUAGCUAGCAAUUCUUUACAUAUUUCCUUGCCACUUCAAUUAUAACUUCUUUUUAGUUCAGUGCCAGAACUAAUGAACAGGCAAUACAUAUAGGAAGACAUAGGGGUUAAGACUAGCUUCUGUCCAGGCUGAAAUAUGUUUGCUUUGUAUAGGAGGCAGCAGGUGAAUGUGCACCUUGUAUAAUAUGAAUGUGUACACUCACCGUCCAUAACGCCUGUACAUUUAUUCACUUAUCUAAUCAGCCAAUCACGUGGCAGCAACGUAAUGCAUGAAAUCUAGCUUUGGUUAAUGUUCACAUCAAACAUCAAUAUAGUGAAAAAGUGUGAUUGCUGUGAAUUUAACCACGGCUACUCGCCAAACUACAUGGAUGAUUAGAUACGGCAUGAAUGUACAGUUGUACAAGUUUUCCUAAUAAAGUGGACAGUGAGAGCAUGUGUACAAUUUUAUUGUGUGUUUUAUUUAGUGCCCAUCAAAAUCUUAUCAUUAGUGUGGCACUGAAUUUAUUCCAAUUUCAUUUUUAAAAAACUAGGCAAAGUUCUUAUGAGCCAGAUUCAGAAAAGCUAUGAUGAUCUCUAUCUAAAGAAUUAUUUUAAGCGCAAUCCAAAAGUGUAUUCAAAAAAAGGACAAAAGGUCAUACACAAUAGGCUGUUAGGACUUCAGAGUGAACUGGUAUCAUUCAAACAACAAAAAACAAAGGGUCAAACCACAGGCAAGGCGAAUCUCAACAACAUGGCUCAUAGCGUAGAAGUCUAGAGCACUCUUAAUGACAGGAAGACUAAUGUGAGCUAAUGUGUUUUAUUAGCUCAUGACCAGGAAGUGACCAUAGAACUUUGAACUGUUGUGAUGGUAAAAUUAAUAUGGUCCUAUUAAUUAGAACCUUUUAACUAAAAAGCUUUAGAAACAAAAUUAAUAUUGAAGAAGCAGUUUUUAGUUUAGUGCAGUGUAAAGUGUUUACUAUGCCUGACCAUCACACUACCAAAGUAAAAAAAAAAAAAAAAAAAAAUCUGAGAUGGAAAUGGCAGUACUGUCAGUAUGGUCUGUAGCUCUGUCAGGUCCUCAACUUCAGCUAGUGAGGUGUGCAGGUUUCUCCCUAAUAUUGGUGAAUAGCUAGAUACAAGUCGACGCUACUAGCUUAUAAACAUUUCAUUAAUAUGGCAGGAGACCUACCUUUUUGCCAAGAUUAAUCAAGGAAAUCACACUUUUCAAACUAUUGUAUACAUCAAGAUCCUUCUAAUUAGUGAAGAACAUGCUAAUACCGCUUACACGGAGCUGUUUGGAGAGUAACAGGAUCAUGCUGCAGCUAUUAAGGAGUGUUCUACUACCAGACUAGCAAACACACAACCAUGGUCAUGUUUAUCGAUGCUUAUUAGCAGGGAAAACUCACAUAGCAGUGGCUGUGUGUUUGUUUGCAACCUAUGCAAAAUUGGACAAAUGAAAAUACUGUCAACAUCCAAAUUUAAUUUUAAGUAUGUAUGAACAUGGGUUGAUUUUAUUUUUAUGUUGUUGUUAAUUGUUGGUGUUUUCUGUUGAAUGAAUGUGACGAAGCAGGGAAACCGUGAAUGAUCAAAAUACCUGUAUGUGUUGGAGUAUAGAAGCUAACCUCGUAUUUAAUCUUGUAUCAGUAAAUCUGAAAUAGCAAACAAUGAUAGCAAUUAUUAUUCAUAUUCCCAUCCAAACAUACCUAUUUAAUGCACUGACUGAUUUUAAUUCAU
RNA transcript from Hemibagrus wyckioides, 13567 nucleotides. It is a transcript of the gene named serine/threonine-protein kinase WNK3, with no coding region annotated. The record is from RefSeq and is a predicted model, not a curated record. The transcript is spliced from 25 exons. Lineage: Eukaryota; Metazoa; Chordata; Actinopteri; Siluriformes; Bagridae.